This is a non-coding RNA of Mycena crocata, 91 nucleotides long. Lineage: Eukaryota; Fungi; Basidiomycota; Agaricomycetes; Agaricales; Mycenaceae. The record is from the annotation of a GenBank genome assembly.
GCCUCGAUAGUUCAACGGUAAGAACACCUCCUGCCGAUACUUGUGGUUCAUCUGGUGCGGAGACGAUCCGGGUUCGACUCCUGGUCGGGCG